This is a long non-coding RNA of Amphimedon queenslandica, 358 nucleotides long. RefSeq lists it as uncharacterized. The record is from RefSeq and is a predicted model, not a curated record. Lineage: Eukaryota; Metazoa; Porifera; Demospongiae; Haplosclerida; Niphatidae. The transcript has 2 exons.
UUGGUUUUUAUCUUAUUCACAUCUCUCCUUCCUAUUUCCCUAGUCUCUCUCUCCUUCCCUCUCACUUCAGAGACAAGCUUGCAUUAGCAUUACUACUGAAAGCCUUCAGCUAAGGCACUUAGUCCAUCAUCAAAGAUAGCAUUAAGGAUGGACACAAGAGGUUUCCUCUCAUUGCAGUUCAUGAUAGUCACUGAGGAUAAACAACUUUGCUUUGUAGAAUACCUGUGUGUUCCUGAAGAUGAUAGCAAAGAUGACUAGCAAUGAUAAGCAAUCAACUUUAAACCAAAAAACUACCAACCAGCUUCACCUACAAUCACUGUAAAUACGCUUCAUCGGUUAAUAAUGGAAAUUGAUUUAU